UACAGAGGUCUCAAGCGUUGUUCGGAUUCAUUGGGCGUAAAGGGUGCGUAGGCGGCGCGGUAAGUCGGGUGUGAAAUCUCGGAGCUUAACUUCGAAACUGCAUUCGAUACUACCGUGCUUGAGGACUGGAGAGGAGACUGGAAUUUACGGUGUAGCGGUGAAAUGCGUAGAUAUCGUAAGGAAGACCAGUGGCGAAGGCGGGUCUCUGGACAGUUCCUGACGCUGAGGCACGAAGGCCAGGGGAGCAAACGGG
RNAcentral lists this ribosomal RNA (253 nucleotides) under uncultured bacterium. Its description in RNAcentral is "partial 16S ribosomal RNA". It matches the Rfam family "Bacterial small subunit ribosomal RNA", at positions 524 to 776 of the family's 1533-position model. The record is from RNAcentral.